UAAAUACUCACAUUCUUUUUUUUUUUUUCCAAAUGAUGCCAUUAUGGCUAGAACUGCAUAAUAACACCUCCUUUUCAUAUCUUUCCCUGAAGUCUCUUGGAUUUAACUGGCACUUCCUUGUGAGAGGGUCUACACACCAUAACAUCAGAAAGACCUGUGAUCAUACAAAGCCUCCCUUCUUUCCUCAUUUUUUCCUGGAGAGUGGAGAUUGUGUUCAUGUGCCCAAUGUAACAUCCUCAUCUUGUUUUAGCAGUUUACCUGGCACUUUCCUGUUCUUUGUAGUCCUAGGAGAUCAUCAUUGAUUCAUGCUCAGGACUUUCAUCUAAAUAUAGCAAAUAGUCUUCCUAUGACCUCCUUUUGGUAUCUUAACCCUUCUCUCUCUUGGUCCUCUUGCUUACCUGGUUCCAUUUGAUUAUACAUCAGAAUUCUUCAUUGGACUGCAAACUCUUUUGAAGACAAACUCUAGAAGGUAUUUUUUGCUACCUUCUUCAUCCUAAGGCUGCAGCAUUAACAGCACAGCUGGAAAGGCAGUAACAGCCAUGCCCUGGGGCCCUGAGCUAAGCCAGCAGAAGCAGACUUGGGCCUUUGAACCCCAGAAGGAGGGGAAGCAGGACUAUAAGCUGUUGCUUAGUAUGAUUUGCUUGGAGAAAAAGCCUAGGAAAAGAUGAUCUUGUGGAGAUCCUGUCGCCAGCAAACCAGGAGAACAAAAAGACAGAACCCAUCACAUCACCUCCAUCCUACCCAGGUCACCUUGAUGGGAUUGGAGCUUUCUCCUCAGUCACUUUUCAGUUUCAGGUUGGCUUUGGACCUGUGUUCUUCAUGCCAAGAAUGUUACGACGCUUCAGACCUGUCCUUCACACUGAAGACCUGGGAAGAGGAGGAGCUGGAAAGGGAGGAGAAGGAGGAAGGGAGGAGGAGAAUGAUGAUGAUAUAGAGGUAUCCCUGGACCCUGGGUUGAUUCCUGGGUUGGGUAGGUACACUGGAGAAGGGAUAGACUACCCAAUUCUGUAUUCUUGGGCUUCCCAUGUGGCUCAGCUGGUAAAAGAAUCUACCUGCAAUGCAGGAGACUUGGGUGGGGAAGAUCCCCUGGAGAAGGGAAAGGACCUGGAGAAUUCCAUGGACUGGCAUGGGUGGCAAAGAGUCAGACACAACUGGGCGACUUUCACCUUCAGAGGUAUCCCUAGAGGAGUAGACUCCUGUCAAACAAGUCAAGAGACUCGUGCUGCAUAA
RNAcentral lists this long non-coding RNA (1230 nucleotides) under Capra hircus (goat). Its description in RNAcentral is "lncRNA (ENSCHIG00010007423.1)". Lineage: Eukaryota; Metazoa; Chordata; Mammalia; Artiodactyla; Bovidae. The record is from RNAcentral.